RNAcentral lists this ribosomal RNA (335 nucleotides) under Obolodiplosis robiniae (locust gall midge). RNAcentral describes it as "partial 16S ribosomal RNA". The record is from RNAcentral. Lineage: Eukaryota; Metazoa; Arthropoda; Insecta; Diptera; Cecidomyiidae.
AUUUUUAAUUGAAAUCUAGAAUGAAAGGUUGGAUGAGAUAUAAGCUUUUUUUUAUAAAAUAUUUGAAUUUUAUUUUUUAGUCAAAAAGCUAAAUUCAUUAAAUGGGACGAGAAGACCCUAUAGAAUUUUAUAAAUAAUAAUUUAUAAUUAAUUUUUAAUUAAGUUUUAAAUUUUAAUUUAUUUUAUUGGGGAGAUAUUUAAAUUUAAAAAACUUUAAUUUAAUUUAAUCAUUAAUUUUUGUAUAAUUGAUCUUUUUUUAAAGAUUAAAAAUUUAAAUUACCUUAGGGAUAACAGCAUAAUAAUUUUAAGGAGUUCUUAUUUUUAAAAUAGUUUAU